UGCACGGGGAACGUGUGGAUGACGCACGAGGAGAUGGAGUCACUUCCGGCCACGCCCAACGCGGAACCGCGGGAAAUCAGCUGGGAACAGAUCCUGGCGCACGGGGACAUGAACCACGAGUGGGUGGGGAACGAGU
This is a non-coding RNA of Sturnus vulgaris (Common starling), 136 nucleotides long. The record is from RefSeq and is a predicted model, not a curated record. NCBI's taxonomy places the organism in Eukaryota, Metazoa, Chordata, Aves, Passeriformes, Sturnidae.